AUGCCGGAAGACAAAAACUGUAAACUGCCGCAGCCACCCAGGAGCGGUGACAAGAAGAAGAGGAAGAAAAGAAAGAAAAGGAGGAAACCCUCAGCUUCCACCUCUCCCCCAGAAAACACAGAUAAUCCUCAGGCUGCUUCUCUGCCUCCUGAAACCCCUCUGGUGUCCCUGCUGGCCCCACAGAGUCCGGGUCGGUCUCCUGGCCGGCUGCCCAAGCUCAGAGCCGCUAGUAAGAAGAACGGAGAGCGGCGUGCUUGCAGCGGCCGGAGGAGCACAAAACACCUCAAGGAUUCACCGGCCCCGCUGACGGUGACCAACCAAACCAGGGGUGGUGGUGAUGCAGGUGGAGGUACAGUGCAGGGGUACGUGGCAGAGCUCAGCACCCAGGCCAGGGACAGUCUGAGGUGGGAGGGAGCGCUGGAGGACCCCCAGGCUGAGGAGGAGAGGAUGGAGCUGUACAGGGCCAACAGGCGGCAGCGUUACAUCUCACACAGAGAGGCUCUGUUGAAAGAGAGCCAGUGUGCAUUGAGACAGACUUUUCCUACAGAGGGCAAAUAGAAAAGGGGCUUUGAUUGGAUCUGACCAACAGGAGCAAAGGCUGAAUUAAAGGAGCAAAUGAGUGCCUUAUGCUAUUAGACAUCUGAGGCUUUAUUUGUUCACAGAUUAAAACAGAUAAAGGCACAGAAUAAAGAUGGUUGGACUGAGGAGAGAUGGUGCAUAGUGCCAGUUCAGUUUCCUCUGUCGGCUGCAGAAAACAGUGUCACGGCUGUCGGUGGACGAGGGCGGGACGUCCUCCUGUUGAACGGGCCUGUUAAAAACUUAAUAGAGGAUUUGCACAGUUUAUCUGGUGCCUCUAAAUAAUGUAACGCUGACAGAAAAGAACCAAAGUCAGUCUUCCAGGACUGAAACCCAAUCAGGAUAACACCACUGAACCCCCUCACACCUGUGUGUCCGCAGGUCGCUGAGGUAGAGGAGGGUUAAAUGGAUGACAGGUCACAUGAUGAACAGUUUUCUUUCUUCUUCUUCUUCAUCUUCUUCUUCUUCUUCUUCUUCUUUUUUAAAUACCCAGGAAGCCCUCCAUCAGGGUGUGUGUGGAGCUGUUUAACUGAAAUGUAAAUGUGACUGUAACAAUGUUCUACUGUGUUGCCUCUGUCUAAUAAAAUGUGUUUAGAUAUUUAAACUGUUGAGUGUCUCAGCUGAUCUAAUGUGCAAAAUCCUGAAUCCAGGUCUGGACAUGACCCCUUCACUUUUUACUGUCUUUCUGCACUUUACUGUUUAACUUAAAAAGCAAAUUUAAAGAAAGAAUUUAAAAGGGAAAUAUUUAAAAAGUUGGGAUGCAUUGAUAUUUCAGCUGAACAUCUGUUUCAGCUGAUAUUCUGCAUGGGAUGUCGUUAUGGAGAAACAAUUACAAUUUAUAGGUAGUUUUAAAGCUAAUUAAUAAAAUAAAACAAAAACAAUCAAAAGCAAAAAACAUCAGUGUUGACUCAGAAUCUAAAAAUCAGUGCAUCAACCCCAAAUACAAUAAAAAAAAGACUAAAAUCUUACGUUCAGUCUGAACUUCUGCUUGAACAGCAGCAGUGGUGUAUUAAUAUUUUCAGUGAAAUGUUCUGACUUCGUUGCCCUGUUAAACAGAAAUCGAUCACUAUGAUCAGUGUUGUAAACUUCAAAGGU
This 1671-nucleotide long non-coding RNA is filed under the name Sparus aurata (gilthead seabream). Its description in RNAcentral is "lncRNA (ENSSAUG00010015117.1)". The record is from RNAcentral. Lineage: Eukaryota; Metazoa; Chordata; Actinopteri; Spariformes; Sparidae.